AGAGUCAAGAAAACUUUUCUUUCGAGCUAUUUACAGCUUUUAAAAGUUAAAUGUACUCCUAUGAACAAAAUUUAGAGCAUAUUUCUUUCUCUCUACCUGAUUUCUCCAGAAUUUGGAAACUAGUUCAUUGGUUUGCAACGUCACCAUGCAUAUGUAGAAAUGCCUGUGGACGGCACCAUCAAUCCUACCCCAUAGAUUGGUAAGAACUGAAAGGUUGCUGGCUGAGUUGGACAUCUUUGGCAAAACAUAAACAAAAAGAGAGUAUCUUCUCUCUCUCCAAGAUUCCACUCCAAGUGCACACCAUCCACCCCACAUGAAAAAAAGAAUUUUGUCCUCUAUCUCCUUCACUCCUUCUGAUCUCUCUAUUUUACUAAGAGUGAUAUCAACUGAGCCAUCAGCUACCACAUCACCAUGGAGAGAGUAAUAUAAGCAGGUCUAUUGCAAGUUUGACUACGAAUUAAAGCAUGAAGUAACAAAAAGUAAAGUUGUGCUUUCUUUGUGUGUUUGUUGUUGUGUAGCAGACUAGAGAAUCUAUUUUCUCAAAUUACUUUAUGAAUAUCCAAUGUAGAAACUACAAAUACUAUGGGAACUAAAGGCAAU
Molecule: long non-coding RNA, 600 nt
Filed under: Homo sapiens (human)
Lineage: Eukaryota; Metazoa; Chordata; Mammalia; Primates; Hominidae
Description: HSALNT0364091
Source: RNAcentral